This 433-nucleotide long non-coding RNA is filed under the name Zonotrichia albicollis (white-throated sparrow). RNAcentral's name for it is "lncRNA (ENSZALG00000003003.1)". The record is from RNAcentral. Lineage: Eukaryota; Metazoa; Chordata; Aves; Passeriformes; Passerellidae.
CCAAAAGCUGAGCUAAGCUCUACAGUUUCCACAAGUCAUCUGUUUCCAAGGGGUAUGAGUCCUCUGGAUGGAAAAUGAAGUGUGGAAUGGACCUUGUACCAAGUAAAAUGAACUCAUGCCUGGAUUUAAGGGCAACUGUUCUGGUUUUCCUCUGUUUUAGAGCAUAAUUCUCCUGGAGAAGUCUAGACUCAGCAAAUGGGAAUGUUUCCUGACUGCCAGGCGUGGGUGAGCCCUUGAACAGUGCCCUGGAUAGAUGCACGUCAGGGAGCAAAGUGGGUGUAGAACAUCCACCCUGUACAUGCCAGAGCCUGAUAGAAACAAAUAGGUUCAUAGGAAGGGGCCUGUGAUGCACAUCUACAAAUCUGCCAGGUGGAAUAAGAAGGAAUUGCAGACCACACUGUACUUAGCUCAGAAUAAGAGAAUAAGAUUAACA